RNAcentral lists this unclassified non-coding RNA (313 nucleotides) under plant metagenome. RNAcentral describes it as "partial contains 5.8S ribosomal RNA, internal transcribed spacer 2, and large subunit ribosomal RNA". The stretch from base 1 to 105 matches the Rfam family "5.8S ribosomal RNA", at positions 50 to 154 of the family's 154-position model. The record is from RNAcentral.
GAAAUGCGAUAAGUAAUGUGAAUUGCAGAAUUCCGUGAAUCAUCGAAUCUUUGAACGCACAUUGCGCCCCCUGGCAUUCCGGGGGGCAUGCCUGUCCGAGCGUCAUUACGCACCCUCAAGCCCGGCUUGUGUGAUGGGCCCCGGCGUCUCGUUCGCGAGACGGGCCCGAAAGGCAGCGGCGGCGUCGACCCGAUGAGCCCGAGCGUAUGGGGACUUCUGUCACACGUUCGCGGUGCGGACCGGCGCCUGCUUUGACUUUUCUGAUUAUCCAGGUUGACCUCGGAUCAGGUAGGGAUACCCGCUGAACUUAAGC